AGAGGUGUGGCUCAGAGGUAGAGCGCUCACCUACCAUGUGUGAAGAACUGGGUUCGUUCCUCAGCACUACAU
This 72-nucleotide transfer RNA is filed under the name Marmota monax (woodchuck). It matches the Rfam family "tRNA". From Rfam's summary of the family: Transfer RNA (tRNA) molecules are approximately 80 nucleotides in length. Their secondary structure includes four short double-helical elements and three loops (D, anti-codon, and T loops). Further hydrogen bonds mediate the characteristic L-shaped molecular structure. tRNAs have two regions of fundamental functional importance: the anti-codon, which is responsible for specific mRNA codon recognition, and the 3' end, to which the tRNAs corresponding amino acid is attached (by aminoacyl-tRNA synthetases). tRNAs cope with the degeneracy of the genetic code in two manners: having more than one tRNA (with a specific anti-codon) for a particular amino acid; and 'wobble' base-pairing, i.e. permitting non-standard base-pairing at the 3rd anti-codon position. The record is from Rfam by way of RNAcentral. Lineage: Eukaryota; Metazoa; Chordata; Mammalia; Rodentia; Sciuridae.